GCGGAGGGCCCAGUCUCCCCGACUUGGGACCGGUCCCCGAGAGCUUCCCUCGGGCGCACGCGUUCGGGAACCGGUCUCUCCCCGGGAGACCGGUCCUCGGGAGACCGGUCCUCGCCUGAGAGACCGGUCCCCGAGAGUUCGAUUUUCAGGACUUAGCCAAAUUUCGGCAUUUCUCGCUGGGACCACGUUCGGGAACCGGUCCCUCCCUACCAGGGACCGGUUGCACCAAGCAACCCCGCUACACCCAGCCGAGGGAACCGGUCUCUCACCUCCAGAGAUCGGUCCCCGAGAGCAACAUCAGCCCAAAAAUGCAGUUUGC
Molecule: long non-coding RNA, 319 nt
Filed under: Ananas comosus (pineapple)
Lineage: Eukaryota; Viridiplantae; Streptophyta; Magnoliopsida; Poales; Bromeliaceae
Description: long non-coding RNA (ACOM_LNC031555)
Source: RNAcentral